UGGGGAAUAUUGGACAAUGGGCGCAAGCCUGAUGCAGCGACGCCGCGUGAGGGAUGACGGCCUUCGGGUUGUAAACCUCUUUCAGUAGGGACGAAGCGCAAGUGACGGUACCUAUAGAAGAAGGACCGGCCAACUACGUG
This 140-nucleotide ribosomal RNA is filed under the name uncultured bacterium. Its description in RNAcentral is "partial 16S ribosomal RNA". It matches the Rfam family "Bacterial small subunit ribosomal RNA", at positions 355 to 507 of the family's 1533-position model. The record is from RNAcentral.